RNAcentral lists this ribosomal RNA (1082 nucleotides) under Hirschmanniella mucronata. RNAcentral's name for it is "eukaryotic LSU rRNA". The stretch from base 1 to 191 matches the Rfam family "Eukaryotic small subunit ribosomal RNA", at positions 1641 to 1831 of the family's 1831-position model. The record is from RNAcentral. Lineage: Eukaryota; Metazoa; Nematoda; Chromadorea; Rhabditida; Pratylenchidae.
UUGAUUACGUCCCUGCCCUUUGUACACACCGCCCGUCGCUGCCCGGGACUGAGCCGUUUCGAGAAACUUGGGGACCGCUGGAUUGGCCAUUUCGGUUGCUGGUCCGGUGGGAACCAAUUUAAUCUCAGUGGCUUGAACCGGGCAAAAGUCGUAACAAGGUAGUUGUAGGUGAACCUGCUGCUGGAUCAUUACCUGUUACCGUGAUGGUCAUAUUAUUUGAAAAGUACGUGUGUUUGUCUGGUGCACACGUACCAGCCGCCACUGCUUGUCUGGUGCCGUGGAUGGUAACGGCUAACGUUGCUACCAUGGUUGUGACGGGUAACGGAGGAUAAGGGUUCGACUCCGGAGAAGGGGCCUGAGGCGUCUACGUGUUGCUGAGCAGUUGUUUCCGUCCGUGGCUGUGAUGUGGCAACAUGUUAGGGCUCAUAUCCAUGUUUCUCGGAUGUGUGGCUUAAGACUUAAUGAGCCCUCUGCUUCAGGGCCGCCAACAAACCCUUUCAAUAAAUUUUUUUAAAAAGAAAAUUCUAGUCUUAUCGGUGGAUCACUCGGCUCGUAGGUCGAUGAAGAACGCAGCUAACUGCGUUAAUUAGUGUGAACUGCAGAAACCUUGAACACCAACUAUUCGAAUGCACAUUGCGCCGCCGGAAUCUUAUCCUUUGGCACGCCUGAUUCAGGGUCCUAACCAUAUACGCAAGCAUAAUGCGUGUGAUGUUGCGAGUUCAUUCCGUUGUGGUGGUCAACACAACAAUGGAUUGUUCUUGUCCCUGUUAAAUGCGUACAUCAGAGUGCUUCAAACAGGCGUUUCGCUUGAAUGUUCGUGCAUGGAAUAAUAGAAGAGGAGAGAGUAUUCGUUGGCGAUAGUUAUGGAUCUUUGUUACGUUGUUUCUUCAACAGAUCCAUGCUAAUUGUCCUUUGCUUGUUGGCCUACGCAUAACGAUGCUCGUUGUGCCAGCAACUUGUUUCUCGAUGCGCCGUUUUAUUUUUCGACCUGAAUUCAGACGUGAUUACCCGCUGAACUUAAGCAUAUCAGUAAGCGGAGGAAAAGAAACUAACAAGGAUUCCCUUAGUAACGGCGAGUGAAA